UCCCUGGUGGCUCAGAUUGUAAAGCAUCUGCCUGCAAUACAGAAGACCCGGGUUCAAUCCCGGGUCGGGAA
This 71-nucleotide transfer RNA is filed under the name Bos taurus (domestic cattle). It matches the Rfam family "tRNA". Rfam says of the family: Transfer RNA (tRNA) molecules are approximately 80 nucleotides in length. Their secondary structure includes four short double-helical elements and three loops (D, anti-codon, and T loops). Lineage: Eukaryota; Metazoa; Chordata; Mammalia; Artiodactyla; Bovidae. The record is from Rfam by way of RNAcentral.